Cebus imitator (Panamanian white-faced capuchin) is the source of this 967-nucleotide long non-coding RNA. RefSeq lists it as uncharacterized. The record is from RefSeq and is a predicted model, not a curated record. NCBI's taxonomy places the organism in Eukaryota, Metazoa, Chordata, Mammalia, Primates, Cebidae. The transcript is spliced from 3 exons.
UGUGUUCUAGACAGUUCUAGAUUGAACAUAGGUCUCCUGCCAACAAAUUCUCUCUGCUGUUCACAUUACUCUUUAUUUAACAUAUGAACCAGGUUACUAAAAUAGGGAAAAUCAUGUGUCUUAAAACAUGAAAAUAGUAACGUCUUUGAGGUCACUUGACCUUUUCUAGGUAGGCUUUUUAAUGUGUUUUAUCUCAUUUCUCAAUGUUAGAAUACGGGUAGAUUUAAUUUUGCUAUAUAGGAAAUGGUUCAUCUUUGUACCAAAAUAUUGGAUUCUUCUGAUAUUUAGACCGUUGGAAACUUUCUAAAAUUAGGAUUUUGUAGUGUAUACUAAACAAUUGCAAAUUGCAUAUUCACAAAAAUGUAUUCUGAGUAUGGUGAUAUUAAACAUUUUUCCCCAAGGAAAUUACUGUCAUGCCUGUUAUUUCUAAAAAAUGUACAUAAAUAUUUCUGUGAAAGUUCUUUUAAAUUGACCCCCUACAAGACUUCUGUGAAGUCCUUCUCCCUAAAUUGAAGCAAACUGUAAACCAAAUAAAGAUCAUGUAAAGCCUUGAAGAGGAAUUGUUUUCAUUUUUGUUGCUCAAGUUAUAUCUAAAUGUACAUUAUAGUUUAUAUGCACUGUUUUAGAUACUGGUUAGGCAAUCUAGACAAGAUAUAUGAAGGGCUGUAAAAAUGGUAAGAGUUUAUUCUGACCAUAACUUGAGGCUCAGACAAAAAUUUAUUUGCAGGCUAGGUACAGGGUUCAUGCCUGUAAUCCCAGCAUGUUAUGGAGCUAAGGUGGGAGGAUCACUUAAGGCAAGGAGUUCAAGAUCAGCUUGGGCAACAUAGCGAGACACCAUCUCUACAAAAAUAAUAAAAUAAAAAUUAGCCAAGCACAGAGGCGUGUGACUGUAGUCCUCUAGCUACUUAGGAGGCUGAGGCAGGAGUAUUGCUUGAACCCAGGAGUUCAAGACUGGAAUGAGCUGAGA